Molecule: long non-coding RNA, 282 nt
Filed under: Medicago truncatula (barrel medic)
Lineage: Eukaryota; Viridiplantae; Streptophyta; Magnoliopsida; Fabales; Fabaceae
Description: lncRNA gene12199
Source: RNAcentral
GUUUUUGGAGACUUUUGGAGGUGUUAGGGUCAAAAGAUGAAGAAUUUCAAGGUUUUGUGAAAUGGGUUGCUCUGUAAGUGCCAUGGAAGAUAAAAAACGUGAAUUUAUUGUGGUGAAUGGUUUCAGUUUUGAAGAGAGGGAGAAAAAUCCGAGAUUUGGGUAGUGGUUUUGUGAAAUGGGUUGUUGUGCAAGUGUUAUGAAAGAUAAAAACCUGAAUUUAUUAGUGUUGUUGAUGGUAGUGAUUUAGUGAUGAGAAGAAGAAGAAUAUGAUGAUGAUGAUGG